GUCCACGCCCUAAACGAUGUCUACUAGUUGUUGGGUCUUAAUUGACUCAGUAACGCAGCUAACGCGUGAAGUAGACCGCCUGGGGAGUACGGUCGCAAGAUUAAAACUCAAAGGAAUUGACGGGGACCCGCACAAGCGGUGGAUGAUGUGGAUUAAUUCGAUGCAACGCGAAAACCUUACCUACGCUUGACAUGUCAAGAAUCCCGAUGAGAGUUGGGAGUGCUCGCAAGAGAACUUGAACACAGGUGCUGCAUGGCUGUCGU
This 263-nucleotide ribosomal RNA is filed under the name uncultured bacterium. RNAcentral describes it as "partial 16S ribosomal RNA". It matches the Rfam family "Bacterial small subunit ribosomal RNA", at positions 793 to 1055 of the family's 1533-position model. The record is from RNAcentral.